Molecule: ribosomal RNA, 468 nt
Filed under: uncultured bacterium
Lineage: Bacteria
Description: partial 16S ribosomal RNA
Rfam family: Bacterial small subunit ribosomal RNA
Source: RNAcentral
GACGAACGCUGGCGGCGUGCUUAACACAUGCAAGUCGAACGGAGAAGCCCUGCUUGUGGGGGGGGCUCGAGUGGCGAAGGGGUGAGUAACGCGUGAGUAACCUGCCCUUGACUUUGGUAUAACUGGAGGAAACGGGGGCAAAUACCGGAUAGGAGCUCCUGCUGCAGGGUGGGGGUGGGAAAGUUUCGGCGGUUGGGGAUGGACUCGCGGCUUAUCAGCUUGUUGGUGGGGUAGUGGCUUACCAAGGCUUUGACGGGUAGCCGGCCUGAGAGGGUGACCGGCCACAUUGGGACUGAGAUACGGCCCAGACUCCUACGGGAGGCAGCAGUGGGGAAUAUUGCACAAUGGGCGGAAGCCUGAUGCAGCAACGCCGCGUGCGGGAUGACGGCCUUCGGGUUGUAAACCGCUUUCGCUUGUGACGAAGCGUGAGUGACGGUACUGGGUAAAGAAGCACCGGCUAACUACGUG